Molecule: ribosomal RNA, 310 nt
Filed under: uncultured Plesiocystis sp.
Lineage: Bacteria; Pseudomonadati; Myxococcota; Nannocystales; Nannocystaceae
Description: bacterial SSU rRNA
Rfam family: Bacterial small subunit ribosomal RNA
Source: RNAcentral
AGCGAACGUUUGCGGCGGGCUUAACACAUGCAAGUCGAACGAGAAUCAUUCCUUCGGGGAUGAGGAAAGUGGCGCACGGGUGCGUAACACGUGGGUAACCAACCCCUUAGACUGGGACAACCCGGGGAAACUCGGGCUAAUACCGGAUGUGCCAUGCGGAACCUCGGUUCUGCAUGGGAAAUGGAGCAAUCCACUAGGGGACGGGCUCGCGGCCCAUCAGCUUGUUGGCGAGGUAAUGGCUCACCAAGGCUAAGACGGGUAGCUGGUCUGAGAGGAUGAUCAGCCACACUGGAACUGAGACACGGUCCAG